Molecule: ribosomal RNA, 253 nt
Filed under: uncultured bacterium
Lineage: Bacteria
Description: partial 16S ribosomal RNA
Rfam family: Bacterial small subunit ribosomal RNA
Source: RNAcentral
UACGGGGGGGGCAAGCGUUGUUCGGAAUUACUGGGCGUAAAGGGCUCGUAGGUGGCCAACUAAGUCAGACGUGAAAUCCCUCGGCUUAACCGGGGAACUGCGUCUGAUACUGGAUGGCUAGAGUUUGGGAGAGGGAUGCGGAAUUCCAGGUGUAGCGGUGAAAUGCGUAGAUAUCUGGAGGAACACCGGUGGCGAAGGCGGCAUCCUGGACCAACACUGACGCUGAGGAGCGAAAGCGUGGGGAGCGAACAGG